AUCGGUCAACAUGAAAUCACUGAACACAGAAUUCAAAAGGAAACUAUAAUCAGCUGUGGUGGCCUGUUGGGGCUGUCUCCAACACAGCACAACAAGGUUGCCCAAAUUAUGAGUAAAAAACAAGACCUAUCAGGUAGCCAUAACGUCUGCAAAGAAAUGAUGAAAUGCUAGGGCAUGAGCCAUAUUUCUUGGAAAACAACAGCUGUGUUUAUUCAAAUAGUAGCAUACUGAUGACUUGAUGAUAGGGUAAUCUGCUGGAAUUCCAAGUGUGACGGUCCCAGAGACAACUUCUCAGCA
Long non-coding RNA from Eptesicus fuscus (big brown bat), 297 nucleotides. RefSeq lists it as uncharacterized. Lineage: Eukaryota; Metazoa; Chordata; Mammalia; Chiroptera; Vespertilionidae. The transcript is spliced from 3 exons. The record is from RefSeq and is a predicted model, not a curated record.